CCGGCGAAAUUCUGUCUUUGAGCCGAUUUAUUGCAAUCUGGCAACGUCCUCGCCUUUAUUUCUCGCUGUCACUAUAUUUUCCUAUUAGUCGUCUGCUUCUUGCACGUUUUGAAGUCGAGUGUGACAUUCUGUUCUCGAAGAUCACCGUUACUUGUCUUUCUUUCUGUGAUUUCUGUUCGGUCUUUGUCUCACAAGUUCACCCUGGAACUAUUCUGCCUUGCCUUAUUUCUGUGGUCAAAUAGCCUGUGAGCCAUUUUCUUCUAUUUUCUGCUUCGCAGGCACCAUCGCUAAUACCAUUGCUACGUCAACAUCGUUAUCUCUCAUAGUCAUACUGCCAUUCUGGCAGACAAAUCUUUACUCGCAAUACAUUGAAGAGAAAACCCACUGCCGGCCUAUGCUGAAAUUUAGCUUCUGAACAAUGCUAGUUGUUAUUCUCAACCUGUCUUAUGAACAUGCGUUUAUUUGCUAUCUUCAAUCGAGCUAAUAGUUAAGUUCUGUUUUUAUCUUUUUUAUUUUCAGUCCACGAUUCCUCGGCCAUAAAUACUAUUAGAAGAACUCCUUCGCCACCUGAUUCAACCGAGAAUGCUUUGGAUGGUCCUGUACUGCAAAAUGUGAAGGUUGAACUCCUGGCGUUGCUUGAACUUGUAAUAAACAUCAUCGUUGACUUCAGGUUGGAAUGAUGGAAUGAUGGAAUCACCGCAAAUUUUUUCUCGUGUUUAGUAGCAUUGGGACAUAUGGGAUUGUUGAUGUAUCUCUUUGUUUUUCAAUAUCGGCGAAGAAAAGAACGCAAAGCUUUUCAAAAUUAGUUCCUAUGUUGUAUAUGUUGUCGGUUAUGUUCAUUUUUGGUUGAAACUGUUAAAGGAAGGUUUUGCUACAAAGUGUUCGAUUUUUUAAAUAAUUUUAGUCAGUAAAUCUUAAUAUUUCAUGUCAAUCCUCUUUUUAAAUUGAAAACAACUGCUUCAAA
Long non-coding RNA from Daphnia pulex (common water flea), 964 nucleotides. RefSeq lists it as uncharacterized. NCBI's taxonomy places the organism in Eukaryota, Metazoa, Arthropoda, Branchiopoda, Diplostraca, Daphniidae. The transcript is spliced from 3 exons. The record is from RefSeq and is a predicted model, not a curated record.